UAUAUUUGCGGCUUUUAAAACUACAUAAAAAUUAUUAAAUUGAUAUUGGCAUG
This 53-nucleotide non-coding RNA is filed under the name unclassified sequences. The record is from Rfam.